Pelobates cultripes (western spadefoot toad) is the source of this 425-nucleotide non-coding RNA. The record is from the annotation of a GenBank genome assembly. NCBI's taxonomy places the organism in Eukaryota, Metazoa, Chordata, Amphibia, Anura, Pelobatidae.
CGGGACCGGGUAAAGGCUACCAAGACUAUUCCUCCCCCAACAGCACAUAAACCUCCUCCAUGCUUUCCUGGGCCUAAUCUCAUACUGCCAAGCAUCCCACAUCCUCAUGCAACCUUUCUAUGACGGCCUCAAGACUGAACCUUUUUCUCUGUCCCCCGAGGCUCUCUCCUGCUUCCAUGCCUUGCAACGUGCCAUCUCCUCUGCACCGGCCCUGGGCCUUCCUGAUUACAAGAAACCCUUUAUGUUGUUAGUGUCAGAAAGAAAGGGGCAUGCCACUGGGGUCCUCACUCAGCCCCAUUGCUCACGUCAACGACCCAUUGGAUUUUUCUCUUGCCAACUGGAUGCUGUAGCAAGAGGCGGCCCCUCCUGUCUCAGAGCUGUAUUUGCUGCACAUGCUCUCAUUGACAAAACCAAUGAUUUGAUCC